CAACGUUCCCCUAUAAAUAUCAAACCUACUCUCAUUCCCAAAACCAUCUCUGGUCUGAUUCAAUCCUUGUUAUGCCGUUCUCCCUCUUCCGUUUUCAUGUUUGCUCGAGUUAAUUGGUUUGUCGUCUAAUUUCCGUUGAUGAUUGCAACUUUGGUGAUCUGGUUGUGUUUUCCAUCGGAUUUCUGCUAACUUUCCUAACGUGCUCGAGCAAUAAUAGACGAUCUAGCGGAUGGUUCAUUAUACUUUUGAUGUUUGUGAUUUCUGUAGAUUGUUCAGCUAAUUUUGAAAUAUUCGGUUGUUUGCAACGGUUGAAGAUCAAAAGCGGUUAUCGUUUCAAGUUUUGAUCGUCUAUUUAGGUUAUGACAUAUUCAUCCGUGAUAAUUCCUGGGCUUACUUUCGUUUGCAUCUGUAGGGGGCAAUCCUUUGGGUAUUAGCUCGAGCUCGUGAUCGUGAUCUAUCGGUUCUGAUGGUCAUUGGCAGUUUUUGGAAGCGCUUAUGGUUUGAUGUGUUUACUUAUACUCUACUAUAGAAAAACGUUUUUAGCUGGUCAGAUGUCCAUCUUGGGGACUUGUUCAUGAAUUUUGUCGCCAUUUUACUUUUUCGUGAUUUUCGCUGUCUAUCUUAUGCCAUAGGUGCUGUUUCCUUGACUUGGUGUCUCCAUAACCUUAAAUUGCAGAUUGAGGGUUGCAGAUAUUUUCUGUUGAAGUGACUAGAUUAGUGACUGGGGACGGCUUAAGCGUGCGAUUUCUUUCUGUUUAACUUGAGCGGUAUCUCUCCCGUUUUUGUGUGCUGUCCUCAUGCCCAUUAACUCACGGUGUCUUAGUUUUACGACCAAAUAUAUUCGAACAUUUACUAUGGUGCCAUAGUUCUAUGACAUUUCUCUUUCUUAUUGAGGUCUUUAGGUAUGAUCUAUGAUGCACUUUUCUCUCUCUCUGCCUCUUCAUUUUUCAGUGUCCUUUGGAAUAUAUUUUCUCACCAAUUUGUCAUAUUUCGUUCAUUUUGGUUUGAUUCUAUAGGUUGACCAUCCCUGAUUCAUCUAGCAUUUAUAUCUAUAGGCUUUUUAGAAGCUUCAAACCAGAUAAGUAUCAUCCAAUUGGUUAAGUGUUGGCUUACUAAUUCCCUUUUUCAUUUGGGUUCAUUGCUAUUUAGCAACUUCACAUCUGUCUUAUGUAGUGCUGAUGUUGGGGUUAAGUAUUUUUCUCAUGUAUUUUUUCCUUGUUUCCCCUCCUGCUUAUAUUUGUCCCUCUAUUUUCAGAGGUUCGACUUUUAGGUGGUUCUAGGUCUUGACAACUGAGAGAUCCGGUUUGACAAGCUUAUCCCUGUUUACUUGCCCUCAUAAAUUUCAUAUCAAAUCAUUUUUUUGGCAUAGCUAACGUUGGGAAAUUAACAAUUAUGUGAUUUUUCAUUCAUCAAAUCUAGCUUGCAGAGUCUUAUGUGGAUCCUAAUCAUGCUGUUAAAUCAGGUAUAUAUUCGUAAUAGUUAGUGUUAGUGCUAAUAUAUCCUGUUGUGCUUUGUUGGGCAUUUUCCAGUGCUAGUGCAUUUGACUCAUGACUGAUUUUGAGGAGUGAAAACAUCUACAUGAAGGUUUGACAAGAAAUAUGGUUGUUUUUCAGUUUUAUAAUUCCAUCAUUACUAUUGGUUUCAUUUCAUUUUUCAGUUGAUGUCCUGUUAUUUGAUUAGCAGCUUUGAUCGAGUCAUAUGGUACUUUUUUGGGGUUGUUUAUGUAGAUAUGGAGAUUGUUUUCUCGCACCUUGUGUCCGGGAAUAUUAGGAAUAAUCAAUGGUUCCAUCCCAGUUGAUGGGUCUUAUGGUGCAGCUAUGUUGAUCCUGUUAUUGGAAAAAGAAUGAACUCUUAGAUGCCGGCAUUGAUAUAGUGUUUAUGGAGUAGUAGAGGGAGUAUAGUGUUUUGUCUACCUCAUUUACCUUAUACCUAGAUUAUCCUCUUGCUUAUCCUUGUCCUUGCCAAUUUCCAGAGAUCGGUGGUUCUUGAUCAGUUUCCAUCAGAAGGCGGUUCUGGUUUGAUGCCUGGCUCCCUUUGCUCCGUUUCAUCAACUUCAAUUUCUAUGUAGAUAUGGAUGUUGUUUUUUUCGACUCACACUGUGACAGGAGAAACUAAUAGUAAUUUAUGAUUGUAUCCAAGUUUGAUGUUGAUGCUGUGGAUCAGAUGUCUUCGUCCUGGCAUUGAUAUAUCAUGCUUAUGGAGGGUAGUAGAGGGAGUAGUAUAUUACUUUACACCAUUUCUCUUCCACGUAGAUCUUCAGCUUACCUACUGUUAUGCUCUUUUAUAUCCAGAGAUCUUUGGUGGCUCUGUAUCAGUUUCCAUAAGAAGGCAGUUAUGGUCUCAUGCUUGGUUCCCUUUGGUCUGUUUCUUCCACUUUACUUAUGUGCAUACGUCAAUGUGGUUGUAGAUAUGGUUGCUUCUUUUUUCAUCCUGUGACAGGUGAUGUUGAGUUAUGGUGCAAUCCAAGUAGGAUCUUAAGAUAUCUGAUGCUGGCAUCUCUAAAAUAUUUUGGAGGCUGACAGAGCUCUGAGUGAGUGGCAUCAAUCGCCCCCCUUUGAGGAGUGUGUGGUGAGAUUGGUCUCUCUUCAUUGCCUUGUCCUGUUUGCUUUAAAAGCUAACGUGAUGGUUUUCCUCACCUUGUGAUCCCUAUGCGGGCAAUCUGUGUGAGAUCAGUGUGCUACUAGUGAAAGAUUGAUUGUGUCUGCUAGUGAAAUAUUUGUUGUGUUCACUUUAUUAGGUUUGUCUUUGUUGUUCAUUUGGAGGUCAUCAGGAAUCUUUCAUACAUCUGUUCAAGGUUAUCGUUUCAUUAUUUCUGUACAUUUCCAUGGAACGUCCUUACAUUUGUUGUUGUUUGCUCUGGCUCCCACCAUAUCUAACAGUACUUGGCGGUCUUUGUUUGGUGUCUGCAAUGAAUGCUCAACUGGACUCUGUGACAGAGGGAGUAAAGUAGCUGUUAUGCUCCAUUUUGUCUUCUACCUUGUGUUAUGCUUAUCUAUGGUUAUGCCCCUUAUUUUCCAGAGGUUUGGUCGUUGGGCGGAUCUCUAUCAGGUUCUGGACUUUUUGUGGCUAAUAGAAAGUUGUGGCUAGUACAUGGACUGCAUCAUAUUUAGGUAUUUCUGUGUCCUGGGUACCCAACUUAAAUUUUCUCCUAUGGGUUCUUCAGUUUUGUCUGCAGUGAUCUUUUCUCUUGAGUAUGUUGUUAUUAUUACGUUGGCUGCCGUGGUUUCUCUGGUCCUGCUUUUGCACAUACACCAAGUAAAACUUUUGGCUCAUGAAUCAGACUUGAUGCUAUGAUAGAGAGGCCGGAGUGGUGUAGGACAUUGUUUGAUCAGAAGCUUCUGGUUCUUUUUGCUGCUCAAAUUGAUUUGAUUAAGAAGGAUUUUGUUGGUCCAUCAAGCAUGACAGGUCGUCAUUUUAUUUCUUGUCUAUUAUCCUUGUUUCUGUGGACCUGCUAUUCUGGUUUGGAGGUUCUCAACUCAGAAUCAUGCUUUUAGGCUGACUUCUAGUAGGCCUUACAACAUUGUAACACAUCUUUUGCUUGCUAACUGCUAUUUUGAAGCACUAUGUAUAGUGGAAAUAAUGACUUCUAGUAGGUCUUGCAACAUUGUAAUGCAUCUUUUGCUAGCUAAUUGCUAUCUUGAAUCACUAUAGUGGGAAUAAAUUGUUGUUAGUUUUGAUA
Long non-coding RNA from Salvia splendens (bonfire salvia), 3679 nucleotides. RefSeq lists it as uncharacterized. NCBI's taxonomy places the organism in Eukaryota, Viridiplantae, Streptophyta, Magnoliopsida, Lamiales, Lamiaceae. The transcript has 2 exons. The record is from RefSeq and is a predicted model, not a curated record.